RNAcentral lists this ribosomal RNA (446 nucleotides) under uncultured bacterium. RNAcentral describes it as "partial 16S ribosomal RNA". It matches the Rfam family "Bacterial small subunit ribosomal RNA", at positions 354 to 796 of the family's 1533-position model. The record is from RNAcentral.
GUAGGGAAUAUUGGACAAUGGGGGGAACCCUGAUCCAGCCAUGCCGCGUGGAGGAAGACUGCCCUCUGGGUUGUAAACUCCUUUUAUAUGGGAAGAACCGUCCUCAUUAAUGAGUGACCUGACGGUACCAUAGGAAUAAGCACCGGCUAACUCCGUGCCAGCAGCCGCGGUAAUACGGAGGGUGCAAGCGUUAUCCGGAUUCACUGGGUUUAACGGGUGCGUAGGCGGAUAAAUAAGUCAGUGGUGAAAUCAACGGGCUCAACCUAUUAACUGCCAUUGAUACUGUGUAUCUUGAAUAUGAGAGAGGUAGGCGGAAUGUUGCAUGUAGCGGUGAAAUGCUUAGAUAUGCUACGGAACACCGAUUGCGAAGGCAGCUUACUAUUUCGUAAUUGACGCUGAGGCACGAAAGCGUGGGUAGCGAACAGGAUUAGAAACCCUGGUAGUCC